ACGACUUCAUUAUAAAAUGAUUCAACGAUCAAUUUAAGCUCAUUUGAAAAAACAACAUGAAGCAGCGACACACUUGUUCGCCGCGAUGCGACCGUCAGACGGCGUCCAUCACCAUGAUGUUGAAGCUUUUGUUCAAGAAGUUACAUAAUGUUGCUGCGGUGACGUCACAGUGAUCCGUUCCCAUGACAGACGUGAUGCUGGGGUUCCCUGGAAGCUCUCUGCCGCUGGUUGAACCGCCGAGCAGCAGUUUUUGUUCUCCGUAUUCAAAGCGCCACUUUUUCUGAUUCACAAUAAAUAUCCUUCUGUAAAGAGAAACGUUUAUACAACCUAGAAACACAACAGGCCGUUCAGCAGCUGACAAAGAGAGCAGCUUUCUGCCACCCGGCUGCGCUGAGCUGAGCUGUUCAAACUUCUGCACAGUAAUAUGUUAAGUUUUUCAUUAAACUUCAAACAAAAUGCUGCAGAAAACUUUAAACGGUCUUCAACAGAAUACAACCCGGUUCUCAUCCUUGACAUUUAAGACGACUUCCUCUCAGAAACACACAGCUCACAUCACACUCUUAACAUUAAGAAAGUAAAUCGAACAGCUCUGCAUACAGUUUUUUCCAAGUAAAAUCCAAUUAUAUUCAAUUUACCGAAACAUUAAAAGUUACAGCUUUACCAGU
Long non-coding RNA from Acanthopagrus latus (yellowfin seabream), 665 nucleotides. RefSeq lists it as uncharacterized. The transcript is spliced from 2 exons. The record is from RefSeq and is a predicted model, not a curated record. Lineage: Eukaryota; Metazoa; Chordata; Actinopteri; Spariformes; Sparidae.